AUUGAACGCUGGCGGCAUGCUUUACACAUGCAAGUCGGACGGCAGCACAGAGAAGCUUGCUUCUUGGGUGGCGAGUGGCGAACGGGUGAGUAACGCAUCGGAACGUACCGAGUAAUGGGGGAUAACUGUCCGAAAGGACAGCUAAUACCGCAUACGCCCUGAGGGGGAAAGCGGGGGAUCUUAGGACCUCGCGUUAUUCGAGCGGCCGAUGUCUGAUUAGCUGGUUGGCGGGGUAAAGGCCCACCAAGGCGACGAUCAGUAGCGGGUCUGAGAGGAUGAUCCGCCACACUGGGACUGAGACACGGCCCAGACUCCUACGGGAGGCAGCAGUGGGGAAUUUUGGACAAUGGGCGCAAGCCUGAUCCAGCCAUGCCGCGUGUCUGAAGAAGGCCUUCGGGUUGUAAAGGACUUUUGUCAGGGAAGAAAAGGGGCAUGUUAAUACC
RNAcentral lists this ribosomal RNA (443 nucleotides) under Neisseria bacilliformis. RNAcentral describes it as "bacterial SSU rRNA". It matches the Rfam family "Bacterial small subunit ribosomal RNA", at positions 30 to 466 of the family's 1533-position model. Lineage: Bacteria; Pseudomonadati; Pseudomonadota; Betaproteobacteria; Neisseriales; Neisseriaceae. The record is from RNAcentral.